GCCGGCGUAGCUCAGUUGGUAGAGCAACUGAUUCGUAAUCAGUAGGUCAGGUGUUCGAUUCACCUCGCCGGCACCA
This 76-nucleotide transfer RNA is filed under the name Gammaproteobacteria bacterium. RNAcentral describes it as "tRNA-Thr". It matches the Rfam family "tRNA". From Rfam's summary of the family: Transfer RNA (tRNA) molecules are approximately 80 nucleotides in length. The record is from RNAcentral. Lineage: Bacteria; Pseudomonadati; Pseudomonadota; Gammaproteobacteria.